RNAcentral lists this ribosomal RNA (478 nucleotides) under uncultured bacterium. Its description in RNAcentral is "partial 16S ribosomal RNA". It matches the Rfam family "Bacterial small subunit ribosomal RNA", at positions 28 to 523 of the family's 1533-position model. The record is from RNAcentral.
GACGAACGCUGGCGGCGUGCUUAACACAUGCAAGUCGAACGGUAAGGCCCUUCGGGGUACACGAGUGGCGAACGGGUGAGUAACACGUGGGUGAUCUGCCCUGCACUUCGGGAUAAGCCUGGGAAACUGGGUCUAAUACCGGAUAGGACCACUGCCUGCAUGGGUGGUGGUGGAAAGCUUUUGCGGUGUGGGAUGGGCCCGCGGCCUAUCAGCUUGUUGGUGGGGUGAUGGCCUACCAAGGCGACGACGGGUAGCCGGCCUGAGAGGGUGACCGGCCACGCUGGGACGGGGAUACGGCCCAGAGUCCUACGGGGGGCAGCAGUGGGGAAUAUUGCACAAUGGGCGCAAGCCUGAUGCAGCGACGCCGCGUGAGGGAUGACGGCCUUCGGGUUGUAAACCUCCUUCAGCACCGACGAAGCGCAAGUGACGGUAGGUGCAGAAGAAGGACCGGCCAACUACGUGCCAGCAGCCGCCGUAA